UACGUAGGGUGCGAGCGUUGUCCGGAUUUAUUGGGCGUAAAGAGCUCGUAGGCGGUGUGUCGCGUCGGCCGUGAAAACCUGCAGCUUAACUGUGGGCGUGCGGUCGAUACGGGCAUCACUGGAGUUCGGCAGGGGAGACUGGAAUUCCUGGUGUAGCAGUGAAAUGCGUAGAUAUCAGGAGGAACACCGAUGGCGAAGGCAGGUCUCUGGGCUGACACUGACGCUCAUGCACGAAAGCGUGGGGAGCAAACAGG
Molecule: ribosomal RNA, 254 nt
Filed under: uncultured bacterium
Lineage: Bacteria
Description: partial 16S ribosomal RNA
Rfam family: Bacterial small subunit ribosomal RNA
Source: RNAcentral